RNAcentral lists this ribosomal RNA (164 nucleotides) under Kerodon rupestris (Rock cavy). Its description in RNAcentral is "partial small subunit ribosomal RNA". Lineage: Eukaryota; Metazoa; Chordata; Mammalia; Rodentia; Caviidae. The record is from RNAcentral.
CACAACAAAAAUUUUCGCCUGAGAACUACUAGCCACAGCUUAAAACUCAAAGGACUUGGCGGUGCUUUAUACCCACCUAGAGGAGCCUGUUCUAUAAUCGAUAAACCCCGAUACACCUCACCACUUCUUGCUAAUACAGCCUAUAUACCGCCAUCUUCAGCAAA